This 501-nucleotide long non-coding RNA is filed under the name Chrysolophus pictus (golden pheasant). RNAcentral describes it as "lncRNA (ENSCPIG00010003330.1)". Lineage: Eukaryota; Metazoa; Chordata; Aves; Galliformes; Phasianidae. The record is from RNAcentral.
CCCAUACAAAUAGAGGCAAUCUCCUCUGCAGCCCCACAUAUUUUGCAUGUAUGGUUUAGUGUGACAUGAGAGCAAACUUAAAGUACUUCUGCCUUCCCAUGAAUUCUGAUCUUUCUUCUUCUUCUUUUUUUUUUUUCCCCUUCAGAAGGAAGAAAAUUUGCCCUGAGCAUCCAUUGUUCCUGCGUGGGUGAUGAAGCAUUUGCUCUGGGAGCUUUGGUCACUCUGCCACUCACUUGCAAGCUGCUCUGCAUUCAGCAAUGAUGCAGAGGUGCCUCAAACACUCAUCUGCUCCAGGAGCUGCUUAGAGAAGACCCAGCUUGUGAAACUCAAGAAAAUUCUGUGAUGUUAACAAACCCAGGGCGUCACAAAGCUAAAAGAGAGAGAGUGGUAACACAUCUGAGUACCUUGUGGCUCGAGGUGUGCUUGAUGAACAAGGUUGAACUGGAAUCUUUGAGCAGGAAUCCUCCUAAGCCUGAACACUGGAAAACUGGUGUAGAGUGA